RNAcentral lists this long non-coding RNA (614 nucleotides) under Astyanax mexicanus (Mexican tetra). RNAcentral's name for it is "lncRNA (ENSAMXG00005006147.1)". The record is from RNAcentral. Lineage: Eukaryota; Metazoa; Chordata; Actinopteri; Characiformes; Acestrorhamphidae.
CGGAGUUAAAUCGAGGUAAUAAAGUGGAGAACGGCGCGGUUUAAUACCCGAGAGGAGCUCCAGGAUUUAACCUAACCCAGCUGUCUGACUGACUGUCUGGGUUAGCUUCAGCUGACAGCGGUAUGCGGUGAGAAGGGCAGCCGGGGAGAGACGCCUGGAGGUCGGGCUCAGUAAGCGAGCCGCCCGGUGCCUUGGCCUGGAAGUGGAGCGGUUUAGCUUUUAUAGCUAACAACCUGGGAAUGCACCGGUCUGAGGCAUGAAUUUGUAGAUAUGAUCUCAACGCUUGACCAUGGUUUUAUUGGACUCAAGCCAAGGACACAGUAGCAGAAGGAGCAAAGAUGGUUAUGCUGCAGAGGAUCUGAAGCUGGCCUUGCUCCACCCCUAAAGCCAGUAUGAGUGAGGUCCAGGCCACUGUGGAGUUCUCCGUAGAGCUCCACAAGUUCUACAAUGUGGAUCUCUUCCAGCGAGGGUAAGUGUGCAGAGAUCUUAGCUUUACCCCAGCUGCUGUCAGAGCUCUCAGCAUUGUAGAUAAACACUCUGUACAAUUUCUGCAAAUAGACACACAACAUCCAACCUUUAGGUGUAUGGGCUCCGCUUCUUUCAGCCAAGAACAG